UUGGCUUAGAAGCAGCCAUCAUUUAAAGAAAGCGUAAUAGCUCACUGGUCGAGUCGGCCUGCGCGGAAGAUGUAACGGGGCUAAACCAUGCACCGAAGCUGCGGCAGCGACACUAUGUGUUGUUGGG
This 127-nucleotide ribosomal RNA is filed under the name Salmonella enterica subsp. enterica serovar Cerro. Its description in RNAcentral is "partial 23S ribosomal RNA". It matches the Rfam family "Bacterial large subunit ribosomal RNA", at positions 1101 to 1228 of the family's 2925-position model. Lineage: Bacteria; Pseudomonadati; Pseudomonadota; Gammaproteobacteria; Enterobacterales; Enterobacteriaceae. The record is from RNAcentral.